RNAcentral lists this ribosomal RNA (118 nucleotides) under Pteropus alecto (black flying fox). Lineage: Eukaryota; Metazoa; Chordata; Mammalia; Chiroptera; Pteropodidae. The record is from RNAcentral.
ACCUACAGCCAAGCUACCCUGAACAAGCCUGAUCCCAUCUGAUCUUGGAAGCUAAGCAGGGUCGGGCCUGGAAGUAUUUGGAUGGGAGACCACCUAAGAAGACCAGGCACUGUAGGCA